Hipposideros armiger (great roundleaf bat) is the source of this 1012-nucleotide long non-coding RNA. RefSeq lists it as uncharacterized. NCBI's taxonomy places the organism in Eukaryota, Metazoa, Chordata, Mammalia, Chiroptera, Hipposideridae. The record is from RefSeq and is a predicted model, not a curated record. The transcript has 2 exons.
GCACAGACGUCCUCUGAGGGAGGCGGGAACUCCGGGCGCGGGCGCGGGCGGUCUCAGCUGCACCUCCUGACCUCCGGGCCCGCGCGUUGCGUCCGCGCCGGGGCGAUUUAGCUCGAUUUUAAGGCAGGGGCCGUUUAUGUUGAACUGCUUUUCGCUAGAGGUGGUUCUGAGCUCAGAUGCAACGGUGAUGUGGGGAGGAGAAUGGGGAAGGGGAGGAGGCCAGAGCUGGUUCCUGCAGAGCGAGCGUCUCUCUAGCGGCGCCGUCCCCGAGGUGGACGCGUCACCGCGGAAACCUCUUUUGCACAGUGGGACGCCGUGGCCUGGAGAUGCGGAGCUCCUGGGUCUCUGUUUUUUAAACUGCUGCUUUCCUUUGGGUGGUUGUGCCUCAGUGGAAAGUAAGGCGAGCCUUUUUUUUUUUUUUUAUGGGGUCCUGCAAGAAAUAGGCUGGAAAGACCCGGUGAGGAAGAAAUUCUUUAACAGCUGUUUUUAGCUUUUUAAGGUGAUUGAUUUUCAGACGUGGCUUCCUAUCAGAAAACCAAUCAACUGAGGAGCUCUUUCAAAGCCAAGAUAGCAAGACCACACCCCAGACCUGCAUCAGGAAGUGGGGGACAGGGCUGAUGGAGGCUGAAAAGUCGCUUCGGCUGAUUCUGAUGUGUAUCAGUUUGGGAAGUCACCGAUCUAACCAAUAUUAUGUCCUGAAAGCCCCACUCAGUGUCCUGGCGUGAGUUGGAUUACAGAUGCCCUAAAAAUGACUGCAGCAAUGCCUGGACAUAUGUCAGACUUCCAGAUAACCCUGAUUACAUCCGGAGUACUCACCAAUUUGGACCACCUGACAUCUGACUGAUAACCAUCCUGGACCAAUCUUAGAGCUAAGAGUGCAGAACUGAUUAUUCUCCAAAAUGCACUUUUUUCUAUCAGAACUCUUUCUUCUUCGGAACACUUCUGGGUUUUUGCCUAGUUGUGUUUCCAGUUUGCAAACCUUAAGACCCUUGAAUAAAUCAUUUCAUUUCUA